UUUUAGCCCCGAUUGCAGCGGCAUCCUUUUGCGAAACGGAGUGUAGCAAAAGAUAUAGCGGAAAGCGGGACGGGUU
Molecule: small RNA, 76 nt
Filed under: Kaistella jeonii
Lineage: Bacteria; Pseudomonadati; Bacteroidota; Flavobacteriia; Flavobacteriales; Weeksellaceae
Description: Chryseobacterium jeonii Flavo-1 RNA
Rfam family: Flavo-1 RNA
Source: RNAcentral